RNAcentral lists this ribosomal RNA (378 nucleotides) under uncultured bacterium. Its description in RNAcentral is "bacterial SSU rRNA". It matches the Rfam family "Bacterial small subunit ribosomal RNA", at positions 28 to 408 of the family's 1533-position model. The record is from RNAcentral.
GAUGAACGCUAGCGGCAGGCUUAACACAUGCAAGUCGAGGGGUAUAGUUCUUCGGAAUUAGAGACCGGCGCACGGGUGCGUAACGCGUAUGCAAUCUACCUUUCACAGAGGGAUAGCCCCAGAGAAAUUUGGAUUAAUACCUCAUAGUAUAGCAGUUUCGCAUGAAACCACUAUUAAAGUCACAACGGUGAAAGAUGAGCAUGCGUCCCAUUAGCUAGUUGGUAAGGUAACGGCUUACCAAGGCAACGAUGGGUAGGGGUCCUGAGAGGGAGAUCCCCCACACUGGUACUGAGACACGGACCAGACUCCUACGGGAGGCAGCAGUGAGGAAUAUUGGACAAUGGGCGCAAGCCUGAUCCAGCCAUGCCGCGUGCAGGA